This 26-nucleotide non-coding RNA is filed under the name Rattus norvegicus (Norway rat). The record is from RNAcentral. Lineage: Eukaryota; Metazoa; Chordata; Mammalia; Rodentia; Muridae.
UGGGAACAAAUUGGAACAGCAGCUCC